CCCUUAGAUGUUCUGGGCCGCACGCACGCUACACUGAUGCAUUCAACGAGUCUAAAACCUGCUCUGAUAGGGGUGGGUAAUCUUUUGAAUGUGCAUCGUGAUUGGGAUAGAUGAUUGCAAUUUUUCAUCUUCAACGAGGAAUGCCUAGUAAACGCAAGUCAUCAGCUUGCAUUGAUUACGUCCCUGCCCUUUGUACACACCGCCCAUCGCUCCUACCGAUUGAAUGAUCCGAUGAAUAUCAUGGAUUGAGGAUGCAAGUAGGUUCGCCUAUCUUCAUCUUCGAGAAGUGAAGUAAAUCUUAUCAUUUAGAGGAAGGAAAAGUCGUAACA
RNAcentral lists this ribosomal RNA (329 nucleotides) under uncultured eukaryote. Its description in RNAcentral is "partial 18S ribosomal RNA". It matches the Rfam family "Eukaryotic small subunit ribosomal RNA", at positions 1470 to 1796 of the family's 1831-position model. The record is from RNAcentral.